CGUGAGAGCGGGAGCCCGGAGAUGGGCACUGAGACAAGGGCCCAGGUAUAGAUUACGGGGCGCAGCAGUCAACCUUUGCAAUACACGAAAGUGUGACAGGGUCAUCCCGAGUGCCGACCGCUGAGGUUGGCUUUUACCCAGUCUAGAAAGCUGGGGGAAUAAGGAGAGGGCAAGUCUGGUGUCAGCCGCCGCGGUAAUACCAGCUCUCCGAGUGGUGUGGACGUUUAUUGGGCCUAAAGCAUCCGUAGCUGGCUGAACAAGUCGACCCUGUUAAACCCACAUUUAAUCGUUGGUCUGCGGGGGAUACUGCUCGGCUAGGGGACGAGAGAGGCAGACGGUAUUCCCGGGGUAGGGGUGAAAUCCUAUAAUCCCGGGAAGACCACCAGUGGCGAAGGCUCG
Molecule: ribosomal RNA, 399 nt
Filed under: uncultured archaeon
Lineage: Archaea
Description: bacterial SSU rRNA
Rfam family: Archaeal small subunit ribosomal RNA
Source: RNAcentral